Molecule: long non-coding RNA, 1086 nt
Organism: Bos taurus (domestic cattle)
Lineage: Eukaryota; Metazoa; Chordata; Mammalia; Artiodactyla; Bovidae
Source: Ensembl
GUGUCAGAUACACAUCUUUAGGAAAUAAGGAAAAAUUAAGUAACAGAUAUAAUUCAUUGAAUUUUCAAAAUGAAAAGAAAACAGCCAAGUAAUACACCUACUUGGAUCUGAAGGUGAGUCUGGUACAGGUAAAAAUUAGCAUUGAAGAUUUUCUUUUUGAUGUGAACUUUUUCCUGGUUAUCUCCUGUUGAAGACUAUGACAUACAUUAGGCUAGUCAUGGGCAAGGAAGACUACACUGAUUUGACUUGAACUUCACUGUCCUCCAGAUCUGGUCCAGGAAUGGGUAGGCUUGACCUCUCAAAGGAUUUCUAUUUCAUCCUUCCACAAGGCUUAUGCACAGAAUGUCUACUGGCCUUCCCCAGCAUGCCAUUUCUAUAUGCUAAGAAUGUAUACACCAGGCCUGUCUCGGUCCAGGCUCAAUAGGUCCAUGGGUUCUGCUCUUAUAUUGCAUACAAUUCAUUCUAAAACUUGGGGAGGAUCUAGGAGCACCCAGCCCCCUACACCACAUCAGUGCUUUCCGCCUGGCAAGCAGCUCUUCAGGAUGCAUCUCUAUUCUUUCUCUCCAUCCACUCUUCUCUCUCCUUACUGUUACCGCUGCCCCUGACCCCUGCCCCUGCUUGUCGUUAUUGUAAUUUUUAGGUAUCCUCUGCCCUCCCCUCCCUUGUUAGUUUAUCUUCUAGGAGAAAUAAAAACACUCAGUAAUUGUUACUGCUGGCUAUGCUACAAAGGUAAAAGCUGCCACCCCUUCUGAAGAUUGGGGGUGACAGAGGAGCAACCCUCUGUAAACCCCCAGGGGUUACUCGAAGAAGUCUGCUUGCUUUGAUCCCAUGCUCCAUGAGUGGAGUGAAGGCAUUUCUCUCUCUUUCACGGUCUAGAACUCAAUUACUCAAGCUGUCUGGAUCCCUGUUAACCUCUUACAUAAAAGCAGUCAAGUCUACCACUAACACUGUAAUAAUUCACUGACUGAUUCAUCCAAUACUAUUUAUUCUAUUGAUCCAGUACUCUCAAGGUGGUUCAGGUGAAGAAACCAAAGAUCUACCUAUUUGGAUCCCCUGAGAACCAUUGCAAUAACCUGUGAAUGAAAA